This 402-nucleotide ribosomal RNA is filed under the name uncultured bacterium. Its description in RNAcentral is "bacterial SSU rRNA". It matches the Rfam family "Bacterial small subunit ribosomal RNA", at positions 355 to 774 of the family's 1533-position model. The record is from RNAcentral.
UGGGGAACCUUGCACAAUGGGGGCAACCCUGAUGCAGCGACGCCGCGUGAGCGAUGAAGCCCUUCGGGGCGUAAAGCUCUUUCGACCGGAACGAUAAUGACGGUACCGGGAGAAGAAGCUGCGGCUAACUACGUGCCAGCAGCCGCGGUAAUACGUAGGCAGCAAGCGUUGUUCGGAGUUACUGGGCGUAAAGAGUGCGUAGGCGGUUUUCUAAGUUCGGUGUGAAAUCUCCCGGCUUAACUGGGAGGGUGCGCCGAAGACUGGGAAGCUGGAGUGUGGGAAAGGCAGGCGGAAUUCCUGGUGUAGCGGUGAAAUGCGUAGAUAUCAGGAGGAACACCGGCGGUGUAGACGGCUUGCUAGACCAUAACUGACGCUGAGGCACGAAAGCGUGGGUAGCAAACA